Molecule: ribosomal RNA, 464 nt
Filed under: Vreelandella stevensii
Lineage: Bacteria; Pseudomonadati; Pseudomonadota; Gammaproteobacteria; Oceanospirillales; Halomonadaceae
Description: partial 16S ribosomal RNA
Rfam family: Bacterial small subunit ribosomal RNA
Source: RNAcentral
CCUACGGGGUGCUGCAGUGGGGAAUAUUGGACAAUGGGCGAAAGCCUGAUCCAGCCAUGCCGCGUGUGUGAAGAAGGCCUUCGGGUUGUAAAGCACUUUCAGUGGGGAAGAAAGCCUUGGGGCUAAUACCCUCGAGGAAGGACAUCACCCACAGAAGAAGCACCGGCUAACUCCGUGCCAGCAGCCGCGGUAAUACGGAGGGUGCGAGCGUUAAUCGGAAUUACUGGGCGUAAAGCGCGCGUAGGCGGUCUGAUAAGCCGGUUGUGAAAGCCCCGGGCUCAACCUGGGAACGGCAUCCGGAACUGUCAGGCUAGAGUGCAGGAGAGGAAGGUAGAAUUCCCGGUGUAGCGGUGAAAUGCGUAGAGAUCGGGAGGAAUACCAGUGGCGAAGGCGGCCUUCUGGACUGACACUGACGCUGAGGUGCGAAAGCGUGGGUAGCAAACAGGAUUAGAUACCCGUGUAGC